Molecule: long non-coding RNA, 918 nt
Organism: Caretta caretta (loggerhead turtle)
Lineage: Eukaryota; Metazoa; Chordata; Testudines; Cheloniidae
Source: RefSeq, a predicted model, not a curated record
CUUCGGGCCCGCCUACUGCGUCAUUCGAUUGGCUGACACACCCUUUCGAACCGCACACGGUCACGCCCCUAGGCUUGUGAGUACAAUGGAUUGGGUCCUAGCUCUCUUUACGUCAUCCCAAGAGCAGCGCAUAAGUUAGGUCGAGCCUCAGGGGUUCGUUGGCUUCUGUACUCGUUGGAACCGGUUAGGGAGAGGACGAGGGCGGGACUAAGAUCGACGGCGCCGAUUGGAGCUCUUCUCCUGUGACAGCUGAACUUCUUCCUGUGGAAUCAGAGCCUAGAACUUGUGUAGCUAGGAAGUUUUGACCUGCCUAGUUCCUCUCAUUUGGAGCAAGCCUCUUUUCUUGCUUGCCGCCAUUGUGGGCUUAAGGGGUUCCCCCUCCAUACCCACGCAACACCUGAGCCAGAGAAAGAAGAGGACUUGGGAUGAUGUGUUCAGCAAGAUCCUGCAAGCCAGUGCUGCAUUGUACCUUGAGAAGAGGGCCUAGAGUGUGAAUAUUUCAGUGUGUAAGAAGAAGAAAAGAGCAGACAGGAGAGAGUCCCAGCACAAUAAGGAGAGGAAGAUGCAUGAGGACAUAAUGGGGCUUCUCUGGCAGCUAUCACAGAUGCUGCACACUCUGUUAAACCCGUAGGUCGUCAAAGCAUGCCAUCACCUCUCUUUGUAGUUCCUGGAGAACUCAGUUUUACCACUUCCCUACAUCCUCUCCCCAUAACAUUCUAUGUGGCAGCGGGGGCCGCAUCUUUAUUCUUACCACUCCACACCAGGGGAGAGUAAGGACAAUCACAGCUUCACAUACCAUGACCUUGAGAGCCACGGUUGCUGUAUGUGUAACCAAAAUGGAUAUGAAUGUUCUUUCCCCCUUGUUAAGUUCUGUCCAUUAAUUUAUUAAGUUUUUAAUGUAUUUGCUCUUAAAUUUAA